AAGAAUCAGCCUUGAUAGUUUUUCUAAAGUUGUCUUAGUUAAAUUGGCAAGUGCUAUAUUUUUAGAAGACAAAGUUAAAAUAUGCCAUAUUUCUUUAAGGUAGGAUGUAAUUAGAAAUUUAAUUGGUAUCCUAUUAAUAUAGAUAUCAAAUAAAUUACACUUGUACUAUAUGCCCUUCUUUAGAGAGUGAAUUUGACUUAGCCCUUUGCUGGCAGGAUUCUGUAGUCUUUGCUUUAAGCCACUCCUAGGUGGAGCCUUACAAGUGCCGGGGUGAGGAUUGGGUGGUGGUGACUUCAGCAGUGUUCUGAAAUUGCUAGAGAUUAAGCUGCUUCAUUUGGGUGCCAUGUGGAGCCAUGGUAACAAGCCCUUGCUUUCUGAUUUCAGGAGUAUUCGUGGAACCUGGAGAAAUGUUUGUCCUCUAAUGGGUCUUUUCAGAGUCAACACAAAAGCAGGGCAAAACAGUGUCUUGUAACAGUCAUCCCAGGACAAAGAAUUAAAAUCUAAAGGAAUGAUAUACUGUUGUGAUAGUGACUUCCUUUCCCAGACUCCUGCUGUAUUACACGCGUCCUGGACAGCCCUGGAAGGAAAUUGACAGAACUUUCAUAAAUCAAAGACUGGCAGAGACAAAGUAAAUAAUGAUGAAAACGAACAAUAGAUCACCCAGAAGGAGUGUCCCUGCCAAAAAGAACAUGGCACUUCACCCUCCGUGGAACAGAUGCACACCCUGACCAGGAGGCCAGGGCUGCCGGGUCAACAUCACUCACUUCUUGAUCCUUUCGCCAAAGGAAGCCACUUCAUCUAGGACGUUCUGGACACUGACACAUACCUCCUGGAUGGCAUAGAUUUUAUUGAUGAAUCCCUUUUUUUCACUGUCCUAAAAUACAAUAAAUGAAAUUCUGU
This is a long non-coding RNA of Lepus europaeus (European hare), 900 nucleotides long. RefSeq lists it as uncharacterized. NCBI's taxonomy places the organism in Eukaryota, Metazoa, Chordata, Mammalia, Lagomorpha, Leporidae. The record is from RefSeq and is a predicted model, not a curated record. The transcript has 4 exons.